This 253-nucleotide ribosomal RNA is filed under the name uncultured bacterium. Its description in RNAcentral is "partial 16S ribosomal RNA". It matches the Rfam family "Bacterial small subunit ribosomal RNA", at positions 524 to 776 of the family's 1533-position model. The record is from RNAcentral.
UACGGAGGAUUCAAGCGUUAUCCGGAUUUAUUGGGUUUAAAGGGUGCGUAGGCGGUCGGAUAAGUUAGAGGUGAAAUCCCGGGGCUCAACUUCGGAAUUGCCUCUGAUACUGUUCGGCUAGAGAGUAGUUGCGGUAGGCGGAAUGUAUGGUGUAGCGGUGAAAUGCUUAGAGAUCAUACAGAACACCGAUUGCGAAGGCAGCUUACAAAGCUACUUCUGACGUUGAGGCACGAAAGCGUGGGGAGCAAACAGG